This 1085-nucleotide long non-coding RNA is filed under the name Lonchura striata (white-rumped munia). Its description in RNAcentral is "domestica (Bengalese finch) lncRNA (ENSLSDG00000011307.1)". Lineage: Eukaryota; Metazoa; Chordata; Aves; Passeriformes; Estrildidae. The record is from RNAcentral.
UUUUGGGGGCGUGUGUCACAUUCCUAGUGUUGGGGGCUGCAGGGGCUCGGCUCUCCCGGGCCCGGGAGACAGGUGAAGCCCUCAGUUUGUUGGGUAGCGAAGGCAGAUAGCUCAGGAAGGAGAGUUCACGCUUGUCUCAAGCAGCCACCUGCCGCCCUGGGGACCUGGAGCAGUGGCCCAGGAGGUUGUGCUGAACUGACAUUGAGGAGAAACGGUGCAAUUAUCCAGCUGUACUGACACCAUUAGGGAACUUGUUCUGGAUCACAGGUAAGUCAGCUAAAUAUUUUGUCUUUGCAUAUUUGGGUAUAGAGCCUGUGGCCAGCAGUUGGUAUUUGGCAUGCAACUGCCUACUUUAUCCAUUUUUAUGCACCAACUAAUUUCCUUGAUGUAGGGAUUUGGGGAUGGUGAAAUAAUUUCAUAAAUUAUAAGCAAAAAAAAAUCUGUUUCAUCUGCUUCAUUCUGGAUAGCCACUGCAUAAAACCUGUCAAAAACAUAUUGCUUUGGGUUCAUCCCUGAUGCAGUUCCAUUGAUUACAGUGGAGUUAAAUCAAAGAUGAAUCUGUCUGUUCAAUUUAAAUCCAAUGAUUGGUUAAAAAGUCGGGGGGAGAGCCCUGUCUAAAUCCAGGGCAGUUUUAUCCUUGUGUCAGCAUUUAAUUCCAUUUGCAUAUAAGCCUAUUUCCCUUCUCUAAAUUUAAUUUGUUAGAGCUUGGCCCUCAGCAACAACAGCAACAACAAAGUAAUUGCAUGCAGUAUUGGGCAAUGAUGCCAACACAGCAUGUGUUAUGAAGGUGUCUCAUGCAAAUUUAUAAAAUGUAGCCAUUAGUGACAUUCUGCCUGGUAACAGGUAUCUGGAUACUUGAAAAACACUCUAAGCUUGAGCUUCAUGGACAUGUGACAUCUAAUAAUGCACAUAUGAAGAAGCUUUUUAAAAAUAUCAGCUAUUAAUGGUGUCUGUUUCACCAAAGGAAAUAAGAUAUCCAUGUCUUGUAUGACCAGCGGGAACAUUCUAGAGUUUCAUUGUGAUGAGAUAAAACUAACUGAGGCUUAGGUCUCAGACUGCACUAGAUAUUAUCUGUGACUUUGCAC